UUCCAACGGUAGUGCGAACCU
RNAcentral lists this unclassified non-coding RNA (21 nucleotides) under Dictyostelium discoideum. Lineage: Eukaryota; Evosea; Eumycetozoa; Dictyosteliales; Dictyosteliaceae. The record is from RNAcentral.